RNAcentral lists this ribosomal RNA (253 nucleotides) under uncultured bacterium. Its description in RNAcentral is "partial 16S ribosomal RNA". It matches the Rfam family "Bacterial small subunit ribosomal RNA", at positions 524 to 776 of the family's 1533-position model. The record is from RNAcentral.
UACAGAGGUCUCAAGCGUUGUUCGGAUUCAUUGGGCGUAAAGGGUGCGUAGGUGGCGCUGUAAGUCGGGUGUGAAAUUUCGGAGCUUAACUCCGAAACUGCAUUCGAUACUGCGGUGCUUGAGGACUGGAGAGGAGACUGGAAUUCAUGGUGUAGCAGUGAAAUGCGUAGAUAUCUGGAGGAACACCGGUGGCGAAGGCGGCAUCCUGGACCGGCACUGACACUGAGGAGCGAAAGCCAGGGGAGCAAACGGG